Molecule: long non-coding RNA, 5218 nt
Organism: Seriola aureovittata
Lineage: Eukaryota; Metazoa; Chordata; Actinopteri; Carangiformes; Carangidae
Exons: 4
Source: RefSeq, a predicted model, not a curated record
AUAAAAAUGAAAUAUGCAUAUAAAAUAUCGCGUAUUACAAAGUAUUUUCUUUGCAUAAAUACUGAGUUUGUAUUGUUUGUUUGUGUGUUUGUCGCCCAUAAAAGACAAACAAACCAAACAGUUUGCUAUUUGCCUAAUGAGAGGAUGUGAACCCAAACUGAGACAACGACAGUCUGUGACAAGCAGGUGCAGCUCAGUGGAGAUUAGUGUCUGUCCGAUUAGAUCAAUAACCUUCACACCACGUUAUCACCUGGCAGAGUUCAACAUGGGACAAGAUGAAAAAGUUGAACAUGCUACCAUCAGUGAUUAAAGCAGAAGAGCACAAGAAUCUUUCAGUCUGCACAGAAACACAAAGUGCAAACUGUGCUGUAUAUAACUGUAUCCCACAGGCCUGGAUGUGCUGUUCUGUCUGCAGCCCAACACAAACUGCAGAUGAAGCUAUACUCCUCCAGUGUCUCUAAACUGAACUUUGGGUCACAGGGACACAUAACAAGCUAAUGGAAAAAAUUAUAUUUUUACAUCAAAAUAAUCUUUGUACAGAGUAAGUAUGGUGCAGGGUGCUGGUUAAAAAAAUCAAAAGUGAACAGAUGACACCUUUACAUGCAAAAUUAUUUUUUGGAGAUUUUUAAUAUAAAUCAGUCAAUCAAAGAUGGAGGAAUAAGAAUCACAUGUAACAUAACAGUUAUUUAUUGAGUUUUGGGAGUGGGGAAGGUACCCUGUUUAGAUGACCCAACUCUGUGCCAUAUGUUCAUGUAUGAAAAAUAUACAAACACAAGUAUGUAUUUGAGUUAUACUAAAUGGAUACUGUGAAAAUUAACAGCAUACAAGUUUUCUGCUUUUCCAGUGUUCCUGCUCACUGUGCUGCUCUCAUGGUCUGGACCAUCAAACUUUCCAAAAACUUUGCAGACAACAAAAUCUGCAACCAGCCAACAGCAGCAUACAACAUCAGUCAUCAGUCAUUUCCCUCAGAAUGAAAGCAUGUUCACAAAAAACAUAUUUUUUUUACACUUAUGAAAAUAGAACAAGAAAAUGAAGUGUUUUUACCACAAGUUGGUCAAGACUUUUAUAGUGAAAAUCUUUGUCAAGGACCUGCCAAUUAUUAUUAUCAUUAUUAUUAUUUUCUUUUAAAUUAUUUUAGCAUCUAAUGACAAAUAUUUUGUGACAGAUGCAUGUAGCGUACACAGUGUCUGGUCUUGCAGGCACACUGAAGGAGAAUCAAAUUACCCUGAAACAGACCACAUCAGGCACAUGAAUGUUAAGAGUAAUGUUCAUAAAGGGUAAGAGAGAUACUAGAAAAUAAACCAACACACUUGGAUUGCUGUUGCAACACGAAACUACACAGUUUUUAGUGACCUUAAGGCAAAAAUAGUGGAAAAUUGUAAAAAGCAGGGCUUUAAAAGGCAGAGACUUAAUCAAUACUUGGUGAUAGCACAAUGGUAGGACAGUACUCAUAGUAUAGUGUGUAUCAUUGACGAAUGGGUGAUGACUGUGUGUUUCACCUGCAGCGUAUCAGCAGCAGCAUCCAGCACAGGAGCAGCCAGGAUCACAGCAGAAUCUGUAAUGAAUACUUCUCUACACCACACCUGCUCUCUCUGCUCCUGGUAGUCAGGAGAGAGGAGACAGAACUAACUGUAAAAAUAUCUCUUCUUCAUAUAUCAAAUAAUACGCAGAGUGAAGUGGCUUUCAUUGUUUACUGUGGCUUGCGGUUUUCAUAGACCUCAGCAACACUUCUGUCAGUGUCCUGGGAGACCGCUUCAGUAUGGCAGUCGUUCAGCAACUGUCUAGGAAGGAGCUUGACAAAAUGGAUGAGCAGUGUGAAGAGGGUGAGGAUAGGAUACAGUUGGUCUAGCUCAGUGGAUCUAAUGUUUUGUAGGUGACAUGAACCAAUGUUACAUCGUUUUACAUUGCCAUAGAAGUUAAUAUUUAGAGCAACAUUUUGUCGCACUAUAUUUCUCCAACUAUACAGUUGUUGAAGACAGCAACUGACUUGGCACAGCACUAGCAUUUCUAGGCUGAUUACUGACUCUCCUUAGUUUUCAAGUAGCCUACUACUUAAAGAAAAUAGAUAUGUGUGCUACUGUUAACAGUGUAGUGUUGUGAGGCAUCAUAUUGAUGAUAAAACCCACUACUGUGUCCUCUGCAGCUCUUCACUGGGUCUUAGUUUGUAUAUGGUAUCAGUCAUUUCACUGGGUUGCAAAUUCCGAUUUGUGGGUUACCAGGCAAUUAAGCUUUUGCUGUGCUAGUAGUUUGACUCAAGGAAUAACAAUGUUGGUGAGACAGUCAGUCCACCACUUUGGUCCUGACUGAAAAAUCUCAACAACUAUUAGUUGGAUUGGGAUAAAAUUUUGGAUCCAUCUAGAAUCAGGUGGUUUAGUGGUUUUGAGUUACAGUAAACAUCUGAACAACUGUUUUUUUAAAUUUGUCACAGACAUCCAAAUGGUUGCAAAACAUUGACAUUCAUGACAUGACGUUCAGUGUCAGUAGUACUUUGUAUUUAGUGCUAAUUAUGAAAUAUUAGCACAAUCAUGCCAAACUAAGAUGUUUGUGAACAUUACCUAACCAGUGUUAUGUAAUAUUAUCUUUUUUUCAUUUUGUGCAUGUUAGCAUGCUGACAUUAGCAUUUAGCUCAAAGCACCAUUGUGUAUAGCAUCGCUGUAGACUCUUAGUAGCCGGCUUAGUGUGAACGUACUCUACAUCAGCCAUGGCUUCAUCAUAGCCCAUUCAAUAGUCUAAUUUUAGCACUUCCGCUUCUUUGCAAUAUUAAUAUAGUUGUUAAUGAUACGCCUUUAAGCAGAAUACUCAAAUACAUUUUCUAUCAUCCUGUGUUUUAUUUUGUUUUUCCUUUAUGAUGUAAAUGGAGUAUAGUUGUUGUGAUAGAAGUGUCUGCAUGUUUAUAUUAAAAAUGUACAUAUUUUAAUUUAUGCUGGUAAAAGUAGCUGAGAAACUGCUGACAGGUAGGGUAUUACUGCACGGCACACUGAAUGAGGGAAUGUAGAACAGCUGCUGAGGUGUCCCAGCUAAUCAAACCCUCAUCACAACAUUUAAUUUUUCUUUCUCAUUCAGCAGCCUGAAUUCGGACUUUUGAUAUGAAGCCAGGGGUUUGUGUAUUGACAUGUGAUCCUCUGUCCUCUGGUAAAGCAGAGGGUAAAGAUCAAUAAAAAUCCGUAUACAAUACUGAGAAAUGUCCCCAAAGUCCAUUGGAGCAGCAUUUUCUCCCACCUUCUCUCUCCCCCUCCCCCUUCUCUCUUUGUCCCCCUCCCUCUCUCCUAUGUUUCUUCUAUAAGCCGACCUCUACUGUAUCUACCCCUGGCAUCACACUGCAGAGCACUGAGGAAGGCUCAAACUGCAUCAGACAAGGAAAGUUGAAAGAAUGUUCUUCCUUACCACAAUUUUACUCUUUGGCUUUGCAUCAGCCCAGAAGGUGAUUCAGUUGAACUACUGCUCAAUAGAUGAGCACCACCUCAGGAUGGACUGCAAAUAUGCGAUUUCUGCUGAGUCACCAGAAGUAUUUUGCAAGUACACACAAGGAGAAAGACUCCUUGACACCACCGACCCAGAUGAGGAGCAACACGCCCCCUUCAAGAAACGUGCCAAAGCCCGCAUCUUUCCAGGAAACAACUGUCGCCUGCUGUUUAAAAACCUGCCCAACGGCAAGUCCAACUUCACCUGCAACAUCAAACAGCCUGACUCUGCCACGGCAUCCAAAACCUCAGUGGUUGACAAAAAGCUCCUCCUCCCCUGCUCAGCGUGGAGUGUCCUAUUACAAAGCUGCAGUGGCCUACUGCUGACCUUGAUGACACUUCCCAUGCUGCUGGAAAUUCACUGGCUGUGAACAAGGCGCCAAACUGCUGCAUAUACUUAAACACGGCACCCAUAAUCAUCUGGUGACUGCUAUUGGCCUUUCCACAAAUUGUGUGUAUGCACAAAGUGCAAUGAGUUGAACUGAAUGUAUGUACAAUAUAUGCUGUAUUUGGUAUGUAACAGGCCUGCAUACUCAGCAUUAUGCACUCAAUACUAAGCACACGUACUACUGCAUACACUUUAUACUCUACAGUACUCUCACAUAUAAUCAGUUGCUGAAAUGUACAGAACAAAUAUGUUGGCUCCAGAUAAAUUUCUGACAGACUUGCCAAGCGGGUGAUGAGCAUAAAUGUGACUGAGUCCUAAAAUUGAAAGUCUAUAUUCAGUUAUGCUUAAUAUCUACAUUCAAUAAUCUUAGUGAUUUUAUUCAAUGUAAUGAAAGAUAUUGAGCUUUAGCCUACAGUCUUAAUAACAAGAUGGGGAAAAAUAUCAGCGAGGGCUGCAAAUAGGAGAGACUUUAAAAAGAGAUGAAAACUUUUGCUACUAUCUAACAAUUUAAAUUUUCCUAGCUCAAUAGUGAUGCAAAGUUGCCCCGUGUGACUUUAUUGCUGAGUUUCAUCGCUCUUUAAGGUAAGCAAUCUAUUUUGCCUGACUGAUAUCUGUCCCCUGUGUCUCUUCUUGGCUGCCAAACGAUGAGAGGAGAUAGAGGCGACCUUGUGCCACACAGAUCUUCUAGUGGAAGAUUGUGUCGAAUCAGUCGAUAAGAACUGGGUAGGGCAGCACCUUUAGCUUUGGAAGGGUUUAGUAUAGUGAUAAACAGAGAAACAAAAACUUUAAAACUGUUUUUGACUGUUUAAUGAUGCAUGCAUGAGCAAUAAAGUCUCUAAUUUACUCUAUUCCGAGGAGACAAUGUAUAAAAGCCUGCAGCGAUUGUGACGAAGAAAACCUAAACACAAACUCAGUGUUUAUUUUGCCUUUCACUUGUGCCUGAGACACAUGAUCCAUGUUCAGCCGAGGCUCAUAUAUACAGUACGUAUAGCACAUAUACAGUAUGUCUCAGAGGGCUGUAAGUCAGAUCCUCAUUGAUGGUCCUAUUUAUACAUUUACAUUGAAUAUGCUUUUUAUGGUGCAAUGUUUUCUCUGAUAAUGUAAAGGAUUUUUACUCAUGUAUAUAGUUGAGUAGGUGGUGUGUAGCCAAAGCACAAUCAUUUAAAUGCACUGAAAAGCACUGCUGUACUAUGUACUGUAUACUGACAAUAAACUGAACUGAAAUGUAAAGGUAUAAACAAAGAAGAACAAUGCUUGUUAAAAGGAACAAACAAACCAAAAUGAAAUGUGGCACUGAGCUUUGAGGCACUUUUCUUGAAGACAAAUAUAAUGUAAAAGUAAAUUAAAUAUAUUUAUGCAUGAAAUCUGA